Long non-coding RNA from Mesocricetus auratus (golden hamster), 849 nucleotides. RefSeq lists it as uncharacterized. The record is from RefSeq and is a predicted model, not a curated record. The transcript has 2 exons. NCBI's taxonomy places the organism in Eukaryota, Metazoa, Chordata, Mammalia, Rodentia, Cricetidae.
ACUCUGUUCCCUUGGCCUGUUGAUGCUGAACUUGGCCGCAUUGUUUUCUUAGUCAACUGAGAACAGGAGUGAUAUUUGGUGCUGCUGGGUAAAAGCCGUAAAAAUUCUCAGGCGGAGCCCAUUUACUUUCCCUUCCGUUUCUGCCAUGAAACCAGCUUGCCCUGAUAGACACCAGGUCUUAAAUCUCCAGCUUGAAUCCCAGGUCCCUGGGAUCAAACUCAGACCGUCAAACUCUCUGUGACAACAAGAAGCCGAGACCUCCCUUCUUUAUCCACACGGAGAGAGUGGAGCGUGAACUGGGCGUGAGCCGAGGCUAUGAACACUCCAAGCCCGCUCUUCCAACCAGGCUGGAUCACCCUGACGGUUCCGUAACCUCCCGAAACAGCACCACCAUGUUCAAGUGCCUAAGCCUAGAGGGGACACUGUCAUCCAAACCACCACAAACCCCAAGGACCACCGCCCCCAGGGCCUCCCUCCUUGUGCAGGCCACACCUCCUAGGUAGUAUGUUCAAAAUGUGAGCCUGUGGGGUGGGGCAUGCUCUCACCAUAUUGAACAGCGGCGGCAGAGUGAAUGCAAGCCUGCACCACUUGUAGAUGCUAUGAGAACACAGGCCCUGAGCGCAUCCAUUCCACAUCACCUGGAACUAAUUCUGACACAAGGGCUAAGGAACCGUUCCCGAUUAGAGACUGAUGAGACACGACAGCCGAAGGAAAAGCACCAUCCUGUACUGGAGCCUGGGGCGGGGCAGAAGUUAUAGAGGACAUAGUUUGGUAAAUUGAUGGCAUUUGAAUAUAAACUUUGGAUUGGAUAAUAGUACUUUUUGACAAUAAAUUUCCUAAUUUUAGUAA